This 841-nucleotide ribosomal RNA is filed under the name bacterium enrichment culture clone IsoM-14. RNAcentral describes it as "bacterial SSU rRNA". It matches the Rfam family "Bacterial small subunit ribosomal RNA", at positions 8 to 823 of the family's 1533-position model. The record is from RNAcentral.
AGAGUUUGAUCAUGGCUCAGAACAAACGCUGGCGGCGUGCCUAACACAUGCAAGUCGUACGAGAAAGUCCGCUUCGGUGGAUGAGUAAAGUGGCGCACGGGUGAGUAACGCGUGGAUAAUCUACCCUUUAGUCUGGAAUAACUUAUCGAAAGGUGAACUAAUACCGGAUAAUAUCCCGAUUUCUUCGGCGAUCGGGAUCAAAGAAGGCCUCUGCUUGCAAGCUUUCACUGAAGGAUGAGUCCGCGUACCAUUAGCUAGUUGGCAGGGUAAUGGCCUACCAAGGUUAUGAUGGUUAGCUGGUCUGAGAGGAUGAUCAGCCACACUGGAACUGAAACACGGUCCAGACUCCUACGGGAGGCAGCAGUGAGGAAUAUUGCGCAAUGGGGGCAACCCUGACGCAGCAACGCCGCGUGAGUGAGGAAGGUUUUCGGAUUGUAAAGCUCUGUCGAGCGGAAAGAAGUGCAUGGUGGUUAAUAUCCAUCAUGCUUGACGGUACCGCUAAAGGAAGCACCGGCUAACUCCGUGCCAGCAGCCGCGGUAAUACGGGGGGUGCAAGCGUUGUUCGGAAUCAUUGGGCGUAAAGCGCGUGUAGGCGGCUGGACAAGUCAGAUGUGAAAGCCCUGGGCUUAACCCAGGAAGUGCAUUUGAAACUGUUCAGCUAGAGUAAGGGAGAGGAAAGUGGAAUUCCUGGUGUAGAGGUGAAAUUCGUAGAUAUCAGGAGGAACACCGGUGGCGAAGGCGACUUUCUGGCCCUAUACUGACGCUGAGACGCGAAAGCGUGGGUAGCAAACAGGAUUAGAUACCCUGGUAGUCCACGCUGUAAACGAUGUUCACUAGGUGU